RNAcentral lists this ribosomal RNA (441 nucleotides) under uncultured Eubacteriales bacterium. Its description in RNAcentral is "bacterial SSU rRNA". It matches the Rfam family "Bacterial small subunit ribosomal RNA", at positions 337 to 795 of the family's 1533-position model. The record is from RNAcentral. Lineage: Bacteria; Bacillati; Bacillota; Clostridia; Eubacteriales.
GCCUACGGGCGGCAGCAGUGGGGGAUAUUGCACAAUGGGGGGAACCCUGAUGCAGCGACGCCGCGUGGGCGACGGAGUACUUCGGUAUGUAAAGCCCUAUCAGCAGGGAAGAAAAUGACGGUACCUGACUAAGAAGCCCCGGCUAAAUACGUGCCAGCAGCCGCGGUAAUACGUAUGGGGCAAGCGUUAUCCGGAUUUACUGGGUGUAAAGGGAGCGUAGGCGGCCUGGCAAGCCUGAUGUGAAAUACCGGGGCCCAAGCCCGGGGCUGCAUUGGGAACUGCCAGGCUGGAGUGCCGGAGAGGCAGGCGGAAUUCCUAGUGUAGCGGUGAAAUGCGUAGAUAUUAGGAGGAACACCAGUGGCGAAGGCGGCCUGCUGGACGGUGACUGACGCUGAGGCUCGAAAGCGUGGGGAGCAAACAGGAUUAGAUACCCGUGUAGUC